GAUGAACGCUGGCGGCGUGCCUAAUACAUGCAAGUCGAACGCUGAAGGAAGGAGCUUGCUCUUUCCGGAUGAGUUGCGAACGGGUGAGUAACGCGUAGGUAACCUGCCUGGUAGCGGGGGAUAACUAUUGGAAACGAUAGCUAAUACCGCAUAACAGUAGAUGUUGCAUGAUAUCUACUUAAAAGGUGCAAUUGCACCACUACCAGAUGGACCUGCGUUGUAUUAGCUAGUUGGUGAGGUAACGGCUCACCAAGGCGACGAUACAUAGCCGACCUGAGAGGGUGAUCGGCCACACUGGGACUGAGACACGGCCCAGACUCCUACGGGAGGCAGCAGUAGGGAAUCUUCGGCAAUGGACGGAAGUCUGACCGAGCAACGCCGCGUGAGGGAAGAAGGUUUUCGGAUCGUAAAGCUCUGUUGUAAGAGAAGAACGAGUGUGAGAGUGGAAAGUUCACACUGUGACGGUAUCUUACCAGAAAGGGACGGCUAACUACGUG
This 497-nucleotide ribosomal RNA is filed under the name uncultured bacterium. RNAcentral's name for it is "partial 16S ribosomal RNA". It matches the Rfam family "Bacterial small subunit ribosomal RNA", at positions 28 to 507 of the family's 1533-position model. The record is from RNAcentral.